This 470-nucleotide ribosomal RNA is filed under the name uncultured bacterium. Its description in RNAcentral is "bacterial SSU rRNA". It matches the Rfam family "Bacterial small subunit ribosomal RNA", at positions 68 to 507 of the family's 1533-position model. The record is from RNAcentral.
GUACGAGCAACUUGCCUUCGCCCGAUGAGUAAACUGGCGCACGGGUGAGUAACGCGUGGAUAACCUACCCCUUAGUCUGGAAUAACUUACCGAAAGGUGAAGUAAUACCGGAUAAUAUCCCGGAUUCUCCGGAAACCGGGAUCAAAGAAGGCCUCUGCUUGCAAGCUUUCGCUGACGGAUGGGUCCGCGUACCAUUAGCUAGUUGGUAGGGUAAUGGCCUACACAAGGUUAUGAUGGUUAGCUGGUCUGAGAGGAUGAUCAGCCACACUGGAACUGAGACACGGUCCAGACUCCUACGGGAGGCAGCAGUGAGGAAUACUGCGCAAUGGGGGCAACCCUGACGCAGCAACGCCGCGUGAGUGAGGAAGGUUUUCGGAUUGUAAAGCUCUGUCGAGCGGAAAGAAAUGCUUGGUGGUUAAUACCCAUCAUGCUUGACGGUACCGCUAGAGGAAGCACCGGCUAACUCCGUG